AUUGAACGCUGGCGGCAGGCCUAACACAUGCAAGUCGAGCGGAUGAAGGGAGCUUGCUCCUGGAUUCAGCGGCGGACGGGUGAGUAAUGCCUAGGAAUCUGCCUGGUAGUGGGGGAUAACGUCCGGAAACGGGCGCUAAUACCGCAUACGUCCUGAGGGAGAAAGUGGGGGAUCUUCGGACCUCACGCUAUCAGGUGAGCCUAGGUCGGAUUAGCUAGUUGGUGGGGUAAAGGCCUACCAAGGCGACGAUCCGUAACUGGUCUGAGAGGAUGAUCAGUCACACUGGAACUGAGACACGGUCCAGACUCCUACGGGAGGCAGCAGUGGGGAAUAUUGGACAAUGGGCGAAAGCCUGAUCCAGCCAUGCCGCGUGUGUGAAGAAGGUCUUCGGAUUGUAAAGCACUUUAAGUUGGGAGGAAGGGCAGUAAGUUAAUACCUUGCUGUUUUGACGUUACCGACAGAAUAAGCACCGGCUAACUUCGUG
This 484-nucleotide ribosomal RNA is filed under the name uncultured bacterium. RNAcentral describes it as "partial 16S ribosomal RNA". It matches the Rfam family "Bacterial small subunit ribosomal RNA", at positions 30 to 507 of the family's 1533-position model. The record is from RNAcentral.